CCCUUAGAUGUUCUGGGCCGCACGCGCGCUACACUGACGAGUGCAACGAGCUUAUAACCUUGGCCGAAAGGUCUGGGUAAUCUCCAAAUUUCGUCGUGAUGGGGAUAGAUUAUUGCAAUUAUUAAUCUUCAACGAGGAAUGCCUAGUAAGUGCAAGUCAACAGCUUGCGUUGAUUACGUCCCUGCCCUUUGUACACACCGCCCGUCGCUACUACUGAUUGGAUGUUUAAGCGAGGUUCUCGAACUGCUAGUGACUGAUCUUUGGUGAGGUCGCAGUGUGGGAAGUGAUCCUAGCUUUGGUGUCUAGAGGAAGUAAAAGUCGUAACA
This 326-nucleotide ribosomal RNA is filed under the name uncultured eukaryote. RNAcentral describes it as "partial 18S ribosomal RNA". It matches the Rfam family "Eukaryotic small subunit ribosomal RNA", at positions 1470 to 1796 of the family's 1831-position model. The record is from RNAcentral.